RNAcentral lists this ribosomal RNA (613 nucleotides) under Filobasidium magnum. RNAcentral's name for it is "eukaryotic LSU rRNA". It matches the Rfam family "Eukaryotic large subunit ribosomal RNA", at positions 53 to 651 of the family's 3401-position model. Lineage: Eukaryota; Fungi; Basidiomycota; Tremellomycetes; Filobasidiales; Filobasidiaceae. The record is from RNAcentral.
GAGGAAAAGAAACUAACAAGGAUUCCCCUAGUAACGGCGAGUGAAGCGGGAAGAGCUCAAAUUUGAAAUCUGGUGGCCUCAGGUCAUCCGAGUUGUAAUCUAUAGAAGUGUUUUCCGUGCUGGCUCAUGUACAAGUCCCUUGGAACAGGGCGUCAUAGAGGGUGAGAAUCCCGUCCUUGACAUGAACUACCAGUGCUCUGUGAUACAUUUUCAACGAGUCGAGUUGUUUGGGAAUGCAGCUCAAAAUGGGUGGUAAAUUCCAUCUAAAGCUAAAUAUUGGCGAGAGACCGAUAGCGAACAAGUACCGUGAGGGAAAGAUGAAAAGCACUUUGGAAAGAGAGUUAAACAGUAUGUGAAAUUGUUGAAAGGGAAACGAUUGAAGUCAGUCGUGCUCUUUGGAUUCAGCCGGUUCUGCCGGUGUACUUCCUUUGAGUGGGGUCAACAUCAGUUUUGAUCGCUGGAUAAAGGCUGGAGGAACGUAGUACCCUCGGGUAAACUUAUAGCCUCCUGUCACAUACAGUGGUNGGGACUGAGGAACGCAGCACGCCUUUAUGGCCGGGAUUCGUCCACGUACGUGCUUAGGAUGUUGACAUAAUGGGCUUUAAACGACCCG